CCUCGCUCCCGGGACUCGCCAGCGAGGGAUGCCGCCGGCCGCCGGGGGCCUUCUCCAGGACCAGGAGAGAAAUCCUCUCUCCGCUUCACGACGCGGCCACUCCCACCCCUGAGACGCCCACCUGGCGGACUCUGAGGGAGGAUUCGGCUGCGUCUAAUACCACCUCCACCCCUCAUCCCUCACAAUGCGCGGAAAACCACAGGCGGCUGUGCGCGCAGCGUCGGCUCAGCCACCGCAGCUCCUCCCCUGGGUAAGUUAGAGGGGAGCAGCCACCACUAAAAAUAGCCCUUCUGGGAACUCCUCCGAAGGCCAGGGUCAGGAUGAAGAUAACCCCUCCACAGGAGAAGCGAAGGCCUCCUAAGAGAAGGGUGGGGAGGGGACGGUGGGAUAGAAUGAGGAAGAUGGAGAAGGAGAAAAGCAAAACCCAAUAUCCUUGGAUCAUGAAGCCCUUGAGCCCCUUGACAACCAAGUCUCCUUUCAGGCCGGAAUCCCCAACUGCACCGCCCCUGCAAUACGGGCUAAGGGGCAGAUUCCAGGGAGACUCAGUUGGAAUGCCCCGCCUACAGCUCCCGCAUAAAGGAGUUGACGGUGCACAGCAAAACCACCUGUUGUUUAACGAGUAUGGAGGGAGGGGUUCUCUCUCAUUGAUUGAUCUGAACCGUGCUUUUCUUCUCCCCAUUUUCCCACCCAAUUUCAGGAUGAAAAAGCACUCUGACGUCUUGAAAGCUGGCAGCUCUCUGUUUGGAAAAUCUCUGCCCAGUGAAAAAAUGUACCGACAAGAUUACUAAGUAACACAGUCUUCUGGGAAUGCCUUAUCAAUGCCAGCUAUUUGAAGAGCACCCAAAGUCAAACUAGUGCUCCGCGCUGGCAGUCUGGAAAAGGCAGAUGUAUGUGAGUAGAGAAACUGAUAGACAACUAGUUGCUGGCCAGUUGGCCUGUUUUCGUGCUACAAGCCUUCAGAAAACAGUCGCCUCCUUUUACCACGUUUCUAUUUCUAAACCAAAAUGAAAAGGACGUUUGUUCAAAAGAUAUUCUCUUGGGCUUUACAUUGCUUUCCCCCUGCUCACUCAGCAAAAUCCUACACUUUUUUUCCAAUUCCAAUGCUGCUGUUGGGUGUCCUUCCCAGAAGACAACCUUAAAUUCUCUUAGGCCUUAGGAGCUGAAUCUAACACCAGUCUUAAUUAACCUACAACAAGACAAAAAUUUAGGUCCGGGCUUACCUCCUAGUCAGCAGAUGGGAAAAAUUCCUAGAGAGUCUCUGGGAAAAAGGCAAAGGCUAACUUUAGCAGUUUGCUAGAAAAAAAAAAAUUCAAGUACCUUGUAAGUCACCAGGGUAGAUGCAGCAAUACUCUCUAAGGUAGCUUUACCUCUUCAAUUCUCUUACCUUACCUGAAUUUAAACACAGUGAGGCAAGUACCAAGGUCACAACCCUCCUGUGGAGGGCCUUAUUCUGCAAGGGCUCUCUGAUAUACUUCUAUCUUUGUACCGUUGGCACCUGACCACAAGCUUAGGCAUCCCUGAAAUGCUCCCUUGCUACCCAGUGUCAAGGAAUCAUUGAACCUUAGACUUUGUACUCAGGUGAACCAGGAUGAAAUCCCUAUUCUUCCAGUUUAAACUUAGGAAAUUUACUGUUCUUUUUAUCUGCCCCCUCCCCACCACCCACAUCCCCUUAUCAUCCCUAUAGGUAUAGUACUACAGGGUGCUGUGAGAAUUAGCUAAUAUGCUCAAAGCACCAAGAACAGUGCCAAUCACUUUGUAAGUAGUCAGUAAAUGAGAGCUACUAUUGUACUUAACUACUCUUCACUGAAAGCAAAAGAACCAGGAAUAGCAAAAAGGUUUGGAAACCUGGGAUCUGAAUCCCCUGCAAGUUGAGUCCACCCCAAGUUGCUUUAUUGCAAUACUUUUGGCUACUCUUGUGUCUGCCUUCUAAUUGGAUCAACUGGGUAGUUCUUCACGUGUAGGCAGGUGAUUCACAUGCACAUUAAUGCUUGAAAGCCACUAGUCUAAAAACUAUGCUACACUGGUUAGUUCACCUCUUCUUAUUUUGUAGCAUGUAAACCUUAAAUCUAGUGAUCUUACCUCAGUCCACCUAAUUCACAUUAACAUCCACACUUAGCAAGCUCUCUGUAAAGGACUGGUAGAAUUAGCAAUCAGUCAACUUGAGUGAGGGUCUUAAAGAAGUACAAGGCUUAUUCUCCGACUUCAGGGUGUUCAUAGUUCAUGGGAAUCAUGCAUACACACAAACCAGAAUAAACCAUUUUGAAGCAAAUGUGCUUGAAGUUCAGCACAUCUCCAGGAAGGAGAGGGUACUGUGAGCUAGAUGAACUGGGUGCACAGACUCUGUCUUGACCUUUCACUUUAUACCCAAUUCUUUAGGCUAAAUUUUGACAUUCUAAUUGGACUUCCAGAGUUAGUAGUUCUCACACUAAAGACUGUGUAAUUACAAGUUAACCAUGUACAGGUUGGUGAUAGAAGCAGAAGUAGAUAUUUCUGGGCUAUGCAGGGCUAUGGUAAGGGAUUUGGAAUGAAAUAGGUCUGGGCUUAAAUCUUGUAUCUCUAGCUAUGAACUUCAGUUUCCUCAUCAGUCUAUUGGAAUAUAACUACCUUUUAGGGUUGUGGUGAGACUUAGAAUAUCUGUAACCCCUCUAGUGGGUUGUAUGGUAACAGCAAUUGUGUCACAUUGUUGUUUUGUUGUUAGCUGUAAGAAAACUCAGGCUGGGCUGAGUUGUUCCUUGAAGGCGUAAUUAAUUAAUUUUUUCUGAGACAGAGUCUCAUGCUGUGUGAUCUCGCUGACUGCAACUUCCGCCUUCCAGGUUCAAGCAAUUCUCCUUGCCUCAUCCUCCUGACUAGCUGGGAUUACAGGUGCCCGCCACCACGCCCAGCUAAUUUUUGUAUUUAUUUAUUUUUUUUAGUAGAGAUGGGUUUUCACCAUGUUGGCCAGGCUGGUCUCAAACUCCUGACCUCAGGUGAUCCACCCGCCUUGGCCUCCCAAAGUGCUGGGAUUAUAGGCAUGAGCCACCACGCCUGGCCUGAAGGCAUAAUUUAAAAGUCACCUUCUCUAUGAAGCCUCCACAGGUUCUAGGCAAGUAUAACUCUUCCUUCCUUGUGUGACCACAGCACUUACCAUGGCAUGCUCUCAUUUGUCUCUUUACAUGCCUCUUCACUACAGAGUCUGGGAGCCUCUCCAGGGCAGGGCUGUAUCUUGAUUCACUUUUAUGUCCAUUAUCAAUACCCUGCACAGGACCUGAUAUUAAAUAUUGAAAUAAUGAGUUUUUAAGUGUUUCAGUUUCUUGUAUUGGUUCUGACUUUCAGUAUAACUCUUAUUAUACUACAGGCUCUAAAACCUGAACCCUUUAGCUCAUAAAUAAUUCAUACUAAAUUUAUGUAUUAUGUAUAUGUAUCUGCUUAAACCUUGAUGAUGUCAAUGCUGGGAUUGUUCUUUCAGAUCAACCUGCUAUUCUUGUUUUGUUUUGCAUUUGAUUUCAGUUGAUCCUACCUGGUAAGAGUGCAAGUAAAAUCUACAUUCUAAACCAAAACCACCAGCAGGAUUUUACGCUGCAUUCUCUAUCCACCCUGUGCACAUCUGCUCCCCAUACCAUUUCUGAGCUUUGUGGGAAGAGGCUGAGCUAAAAGAAAACGUUGUUGUUUUAAGUUUCAGUUGUUUAGACUGUUGCAACCAUUAGCACUUUCUGAAUUAAUACCUGCAAGAUAAAUGCUACCUUUAGCAACAGUUUUGAAAUCCUUGACUCUGUGCCAUUAAAAAUGCUAGACAGGGAAAAAUAAAACCUUCCCUAGAAAAUUCUUUUGCCCAGAAAGUUGCCUGAGAGGUAAUGUCAAAUGUGGACUUGAUCCCAAAAUGGCAGUUGAAUUUGUACCAGAGGAGAUGGUGGUCUAUUGGGGCUAAAAAUGAUACCCCAAAAUGAAGGAAUAAAAAGCAGCCUCAGAAGCAAAGUCUCUGUCUAGCUUUCUCCUGCCCUCCUGUCUCUCACUCUCUUAUUCUCCCUUGAAGCAAGCCAUAGAAACUGGAAUCCUUCUUCCCUGAGGUGGGUCAUAUAAACCAGAACCUUUUCCCCAAAACCAGCCUUAGAGCCUAAACAUUUUACUCUAAUCUUCUCCCUCCCUUCCCUUUCUCUUUCUUGCUAACUGCUGGCCAUAAAGAAAUUAAGACCCUCAUUCCAGGGGGUCCUACCCCAUACCUGGGAGGAAGGAAUGUUAUAUCGAAAGGCCAAGAAGAAAUCUGAACAGACAGGCCUUGCUGGAUUUCCCCAUUCCCCUUGCUGGAUCAUACCCCUUUUGUCCAAUCAUAUUUCUACACAGCUUUCCAUACUUCAUUGAACCCAAGCAUAAAAAUGGGCCAAGAGAAGGUGGCUCAUACCUAUAACCCCAGCAUUCUGGGAGGCCGAGGUGCAACAUCACUUGGGCCCAGAAGUUACAGGUUACAGUGAGCUAUGAUCAGGACAUUGCACUCCAGCCUGAUCUACAGAGUGAGACCCUAAAUCAAAAAUAAAAAUAAUAAUAAAGGAAUAGUUGCCCCUAUAUCUUGGGGUCUUCAUUCUGAAGGCUCCUGUGUCACACAAAACUACGAUCAAAUAAAUUUGUUAUGCUUUUCUCUUGUUAAUUUGCCUUUGUUAGAGAGGUGUCAACUGUUAUGAUAGGAAGGAAAGGAAUCACCCCUUUUUGCUCCCUACAGUACCAAGGACCUAAAAAUAGGAUUCUAUAAAACUUUGAAUCAGAUUCUUCUAAAACAAACCUUAUUUAUUUUACCACCCCAAGACAGAAUUGUUUGAUCCCACUAACUUGUGAAAUUUUCUUUGGAAAUAGUAAAGAAUAAACACUUAUGAGGUACACAUUAUGUGCUAAAUGCAGGUUGAAUAUCUGUUACCCAAAUUCCUUGGGACCAGAAGUGUUCUGGAUUUCAGAUUUUGAAUAUUUGCACUAUACUUACCAGUUGAGCAUACCAAAUUCAAAAGUCUAAAAUGCUCCAAUGAGAAUUUCCUAUAAGCCUUAUGUCAGUGUUCAGAAAAUUUGGAGCACCUCAGAUUUGGGAUGCUCAAUGUGUGCUAGCUUUAUAUGCAUUGUCUCAUUUAUUCACCAUAGCUAUCCAUUACACAGGCAGUAUUAUUUUCUCAUAUUGACAGAUGAGAAAACAGAGGCCCAUUGUAAUCCAGUAGCUAGCUGAAGGUCACAUAAUCAGUGAGUAGAAGAGUUGGGAUUUGGGCCUAGGCAAGUCAAUUUCAGGGUUCUCAUGCUUACUCACUACUUAAUCCUAUAGGAAAGGAGUAUUUAUUUUUAAAUGGAACCCAUCAGUUAUUUCAGUAAGGUUAAUAAUGUACUUUUUCAGUAUUUCAAAAUUGCAUUGAUUUGUGCUUUUUCCACUAGUGUACUCAUAUCCCAUAUGUGCCUUCAUGAGCUGGUUUUACAGCUUACUCUUUAAUUGAAAAGCACUUUACAACUGAAAGCAAACUUCUUAAUCAAAGAUCAUAAUGUGUCCGUAGCUCCGAGUUAAGGCAACAUGAACUAUAACCAGACAGAGAGUCUCAUUCUUAGAAUUAUUGUUCAGAUGGGUCGAUAGAUAAGUAACUUUCACAUGAGAAAUAUUAUUAUAUUAUGAUAUAAUAAGAAAUAUAUAUAUAUAUUGGUCAUUGUCUAUGGUUCCUGGCUUACAGCUUCUAAAACUCUUGUAAUUUCCUCAGUGAUUAGAGCUAUAGGAUCAUUUUUGAUUAUAUUUGGGUUUUGUCUUUAGUUCCUGAAAUAGCUCCAGAUAAAGGUGAAAAAAGUGUCUUUUAUUACUCAUAAGAUGUCUUCUUCAACCACACCUGGGUUUAUGUUAAUGAAGCAAUUUUUGGAAAGCCCCUAGAUAACUGCAGGAUGGGAGCUGGUUGCUAUGGAAACUUAAACGUGUGUGUGUGUGUGUGUGUGUGUGUGUGUGUGUGUGUGUGUGUGUGUCUAGACUAGAGGGUUGGAAUUUUCAGCCCCACCUGGACCUUUGACCUUUUGGGAGUGUAGAGGAACUGGAAACUGACUUAAUUACCAACGCUAAUGAUUUAAUCAAUCGGGCCUAUGUAAUGAUGCCUUUAUAGAAACCAAAAAGGAUGGAGUUCAGAGACCUUCCAUGUUGAUGAACAAGAACACAUUCACCUGCUGUAGGGGUAGGUGUACCCCAAAACUCCACUGAUACAGAAGCUUCUAUACUCAAGACCCUUCUAUACUCAAGACCCUGGAUCUUACCCUAUAUAUCUCUUCAUCUGGCUAUUUAUUUGCAUCUUUUAAUAUAUCCUUUGUAAUAAACUAGUAAUCUAGAAAGCAAACUUUUCCUAGCUCUGUAGGCCAUUCUAGUAAAUGAUUAAACCUGAGGAGGAGUUAUGGGAACCUUUGAUUUGUAGACAAGUUGGACAAAAGUGGUAUAUAUCCUAAUAUAACAUGGGAACCUGCCACUUAUGAUUGGCGUGUGAAAUUGGGGGAUGGGGAAGCAGUCUUGUGGGACUGAGCCCUUAGCCUGUGGGGUCUAAUGCUAUCUUCAGGUAAUAUCAGAACUGAGUUAAAUUAUAGGAUACCAGUCAGUGUCCAUUGGAGAACUGAAUUAUUGUGAGGAGAAACCCACACAUUUGGUGGCUAAAAGUAUUGAUGUGAGUAGUAGCAUAUAGGAGUUUUUUGCUAUAUACAUAUGUAGUGUAAGUUUAAAGUAAAAAGUUUUGUAUUGUCAGGAGUGACUUCUUUGCACCUAAAUAUCACUGCUAUAACUGCGUUACUAAGGAAUAGUUGCUUGCUUUUAUGUAUUUGGCACCUGCAGCUACUGUUCUAAAAAGUUUGCAUGUGUUAACCUAUUAAUUAAAUCUACAAAUGACUGGCUGUACCCAUGAAGUGAGUUAUUCUAAAGACAAUGGAACAUUUAAAUGGUUUAGAAAUUUUUUGAUUAAAAAUACAUUAAUAAUAUCUCCUAAAGAAUGUGACUGAUUUUUUUCCAGGGCUCAAAUUUUUCAGUCUUUUCAUAACACCAUAUUUUAUUAUGCAUACACAAUAUGCCAUAGAGCCUGUCAGAUCACAACUUAACAUUGAAUUGCCUCAAAUUUCAGUGGCAUCAGCCCUGACGAAGCAUCUAAUUUUAAGCCUAAGCAAUUGUUUCUUUGUUUUGAAUGAGAAGCUGUCCUCUCUUUGAGGCAUGAAGAUCCAUGGCUCAGGAAACCUUAUCACGGUAGUGAAAUUGAAGAUGCUCUUGUUACUCACAUAAACAUGAUUCUCUCUUUGGAAAAUUAUUGUAGACGGUGCUUUGUAUGUUUAGGAAAUGCCGUAGCCAUGCGCACAUGCUCUGUCCGUGAAAGCCACCACCCAUCCUGAGGUAUGAUGCAUUUUUUUUUAGCAUUUUUGGAGCUUCUUAGUUUCCUGAAUCCACUCAUAUUUUUGUCUCUUUAGGAAACAACAUCAGCAACAACAAAGCCUGAUUUCCCUUCUCAGUAUCAGUGAUGUAUUAAUGGCACUUUUGCUGUUAGUGAAAAGAACAUAAGCUGGAAUUGAUGAGACCUGGAUUCCAGUCAUAUUUCUUUCAUUGACCAACUUUGUGACUUGGGAGAAAUCUCUUAAUAUCUUUACAUCCUCAGUCCUCAUUUGAAAAUGAGAGGAUUGGGAAAGAUGUCUUCUUAGGGCUUGUUUGGUGUGAGAAUUUUAUACAUAGAUAUUAAAAUUAUACAUGUUUAUCCUCCUUAGAUUUCAGUCAGUAAUGGAUAUUACCACCAGCAUUUAAUCAAGGAAGCAGGAAGUGAUCCAUCACUGCUAGCUGCUAUCUACAGGAAUUCUGUCUACAGGCAGGGCAGACCAGUCAGCCAGUAUCUUCCCGAAGUACCUUGGUCUUCCACCAUCCAUCCCACUGAGAGAGCCGUUCCUCUAAUGAGGCAUUUCUAAGCAGCUGUCCAUUGAACUCUACCCCUUGAGAUAUCCUGAGAAAUAGGAAUCUAUGGUUCCUAUUGUUUGGAAAGUAGUAUAUCUUCCUUGAAGAUUCACAAUGCGUAUUAAUAUGCUUAGGGCUCUGAUAAGUCCUGUAUUAAAAAUGCUUGUUAAACUUUGCUGAACCUAGCAUUUCUUUAACUUCACUUGGCCGUGGAGCUAUUUCCUUUAUUACACCUAUCAACAUUCCAAAAGAAUAAAAUUCCUUAGAAUAGAAUAUUUUGUUAUUUUUGAGUUAAAGACUGCAGAGCCUUCAUAAGACUUUUCUUGUUGGAAAGAGAAGGGAAUUGUGGGCUCUAUAACUCAUUUAAUGAAUAUCUGUCAAGAUAAGCCCUCUUGGUAGAUGUUUUCUUCAGCUAUUUUCCUUACAAACAUCAGUCAUAAUAGAGUGCCUGACAUCUUUAAUAGGACAAAGAGUAUCCAUUCUCAUUGGUAAUAGUGCAGCUUUGUUCUGUUACACUGAGGAAUAGUUCCCUGGCUGUUACAUACUCUUGUUAGCCUCUGGGUUCCAUGACAUCCUUUCAGAAAUAGCUGAAACUGAUAUAGAACACGCACAUAUUCUGAGCACAAAAAAGAUGACAUAGAAUAGUCUAUUAUUGGUGACUAUUGGAAGACAGUUCUCUAUGGGUCUCUAGUGUUUUUGUACUCUUUCUUCCAAAAUAAAUGUUCAAGGAUAUUUGUACAGUGAACAGCCUUGAAAGAUAGAGAUAAUGUCUUUCUCUGGAGCAAAAGCCAGACAUGUUUACUGUCCAGUAUAAUAAAGAUAAUGUUUUUCUCCAAAGCAAACGGGAAGCAUACUUACUGCUCAUAAAAGGUUGAUAUUCCCUAGCUCAGGAUUUCUCUCCUAUAACACAAUCCACUGUGGAGUUAGGUGCUUUCUCGCUCUCUUUGCAUCUCCCUGUGGGAAGUGGGUCUCCAGGAACUGAUAUAAAAAUGCUGAUACUUUGGAUACUGCUAUUGAAGUGAGUAGUAAACUUUCUUUUGUCUCUGACCCAGGACUUUUCACGUCUUAUACCACCAUCCCAGAAAGUGUAGCAGGCUAGUAUUUUAGUUUCCAAGGAUAAGAAAAUUUCAGACCCUCCACAUUUCUUUACAACGACUAGCUUUUUCCUCUCUACUAGGUGGAAAUUGAUGGGAUAACUUGAUAUACUUAUCUACCCUCCCUCUCUGAAUCAUUCCUGGCCUAAUGAAUAUUCUCUCCUAUGAAUGCUUUUCUAGGCCUGUUGUGGCAUUUUUCUUUUUUUUUUGAGAUGGAGUCUAGCUCUGUUGCCCAGGCUGGAGUGCAGUGGCACGAUCUCGGCUCACUGUAACCUCUGCCUCCUAGGUUCAAGCAAUUCUCUUGCCUCAGCCUUCCCAGUAGCUGGGACUACAGGCACAUGCCACCAUGCCCGGCUAAUUUUUUGUAUUUUUAGUAGAGACGGGAUUUCACUGUGUUAGCCAGGAUGGUCUUGAUCUCCUGACCUUGUGAUCUGCCCACUUCAGCCUCCCAAAGUGCUGGGAUUACAGGCGUGAGCCACUGUGCCCAGCCUCUCUUGUGGCAUUUAUGAUAGCCUUCCAUCCUUGUUUCUGAGGAAGAUUCAAUAGAGAGCUAUUAGAAGUGAUGUACUCUGAUUAAGGAAUUUCAAAGAAAAGACACCAUUAAUUUAAAGUCCAGCAUGAUAACAUUUCAUUACAAUGAUGAGACAAUAUUUUAUAUUCUAUUUUAUUUUGAAAAAUUAUUUAAAAAUCAAUUCUCAGUGAAAAGGAAUUACCAUGUUACAUUAAAGAAUGUGUGUGUGUGUGCGCAUGUGUGUGUGUGUGUGUGUGUGUGUGUGUGUCUGAGUUAGUUGCGUUGAUAGCUUCCAAAAUGAAAACACUAGGGUUCAGAUAAGAUGAACUGCUUCCAGUGACCAAAAGGAGGAGCAUUUAACCACAACAUGAAAACAGCUUAUGGUCUCAUUUAGGAGACUGAAAACAUCUCUGAUCUCUUAAGUGUCUCGAAUAUUCUUUAGCUUGUAAAAUGCUCCAGAUAAUAGCUAUUUAUAUCUGAUCUGAUACCAUUUUAUAUUAAUUGUUCAUUUUAUUGGCUUAACCAAAAUUCAAAAUUAUACCUUCUAUAAUAAUAUAUCUGAUCAUUUGCUUUGAAACAAACACUUUCUGAUUGAAAAAUUAUCAGAGACUUUAAAGUAUAACAGUAUUGAUUUAAGAGCAACCAGGUCUGCACAUUUGUAAGAUGACAAGCAAGUUGUAGGCUGACAACUUGCUGCAGUGAUUUGAAUGAUACAGACAAGGUAGCUGAUUAACAUUUGCUGAGGAUUUACUCUACGUCAGGCAUGAUGUUAAAGAUUUCACAUGUAGGCCAGGCGCGGUGGCUCACCCCUGUAAUCCCAGCACUUUGGGAGGCCGAGGCGGGCGGAUCGCAAGGUCAGGAGAUCGAGACUAUCCUGGCUAACACAGUGAAACCCCGUCUCUACUAAAAAUACAAAAAAAUUAGCCAGGAGUGUUGGCGGGCGCCUGUAGUCCCAGCUACUCGGGAGGCUGAGGCAGGAGAAUGGCGUGAACCCAGGAGGCGGAGCUUGCAGUGAGCCGAGAUCGCGCCACUGCACUCCAGCCUGGGCGACAGAGCGGGACUCCAUCUCAAAAAAAAAAAAAAAUUUUACAUGUAUGAUUUCAUUUCAUCCAUGUAACAACAGGAUAACAGGUAAUCUUACUAUUCCCAUUUCACAGAUAGGGAGUCUGAGGCACAUACAGCUAAUGUCACUUGCCUAGCCUCAUGCUGCUAGUAAGUGGCACAGCCAGGAGUAUAACCCGGACAGCUUGACUUGAAAGCCCACACUCUUAUCACGCCCUUUCUAUCUUAAAACAUCACAGUAUUUUAAACUGCUGGAAAAUGUCAUUUUUUCCCCCUAGAGUGCUAAACAAAAAUAAACAGUCUUGCUUAUCUGGAGUUUCAUACCUAAUUAUCUUCACAUAUACGAUGUUUUUGAUCUUCAUUUCUCUACAGUGAAUAUAUUUCAGGACCAUUAAGGGUGAAUUGGUAUGCAUCAGCCCAUGUUGACUGAGAAAAAAAGAUACCGUAUAGCCCAUUUUGAGUAGGGAGACAUUCUAGUUAUGCCACUUGGAAAUGUUUCACAUAAGGUUUUGCUGUAUCCCAGACUCCUAACAUAGAUGCAUUUGAAAAAUCAUUUAGUAACCUAAAACAAAUACCAAGAGAUGUUGAGUGUCUUUAAGUCUAUAUCCAAAGAGGGAGGAAAGAGCAACAAUAUUUUAAAAGUUACUAAUUCUCUACCUGGAGAUGUUUCCAUUUUUCAUGAUUAUAAAGACUAUUACUGCCAGCCCCAAACUGCCCAAUUUCCAGGUUCCCCAGGUGGGCACAUUGUGAUGCUGCCUAGGCUACAAGUCACAUCACAAUACUUUUCCUCAGAUCAGACUGGCAGCUCAGCCUCUCCAGUUUCCCAAGGAGGGUGAGGUGAGGAGUGGUGCAAGACUUCUGAGUGCUUUAAGGGGAAAGGAAUUUUUUUUUGAGAUGGUGUCUCGCUCUGUCGCCCAGGCUGGAGUGCAGUGGCGAUCUCGGCUCGCUGCAAGCUCCGCCUCCUGGGUUCACGCCAUUCUCCUGCCUCAGCCUCCUGAGUAGCUGGGACUACAGGCGCCUGCCACCACGCCUGGCUAAUUUUUUUUUUUUUUUUUUUUUUUAGUAGAGACGGGGUUUCACCAUGUUAGCCAGGAUGAUCUCGAUCUCCUGACCUCAUGAUCUGCCCGCCUUGGCCUCCCAAAGUGUUGGGAUUACAGGCGUGAGCCACCGCGCCUGGCCAAAAGGAAUUUUUAAACUCUUUUAUGAUUAUUUCUUAGGAUGAUGAGGAAAUCAUUUAAUAAGCAACCUUUAUAGAUUGCUGCCUAGCCUCUCAAAACUCCAAAAUGAUUUCUAAAAAAUAGCAAUAAAAAGGCUUCAUGCAAAAUUCUCUGCAACGUUACAUCUACUCAGUGUCCUGGCUACCGAAGACAAAUAGUAUGAUACACAUUUCAGUUGCAAAAGCAAGUUUCACUUCUAGCAUCCCAUGCAACCAUUUUCACAAGAAAAUGAGGAGUCGUCAUGGUCUUUGCUGAAAAACUUUUGUGAAGAUUGGUGGAUAUUUUUCUGUCUUUCUGUUAAGACCCUGAAGAACAGAGUUGAGUGGAACUUACUUUCUGUUUCUGUUAUCUAGAGUGAAUUAAGAAGUUUAAGAGAAGCAAGUAUGAAUCUCCUGAUCUUGUGAAAUCUCAAGUAGCUAAAAGGAAGUAUUGACAUUUUUUAACUGGAAGUAUUUGAAUUUACCUGGAUUUAAACCUGCAUUGGCAUUUUUUAUAACAUAUAUGAUGACUGAAUUUCUGUAGACCCAGUAGGAAAUCGCCUAUUUUUUUUUUUUUUUUUUUGAAAAAUCAUCUUCCCGAACUUUGCAGUUCUUUAAUCAAAUUUGCACAUGGCUCUGAUGGGUUUAUAGUUCUUUACUGCCUCCCUGAUUUUGCAUGUGUCUUUAUACCAUCUUCUAAUUUCUUACUUCCUUUUUGUCCUUAUCACUAUACUCUCUUUCUCUCCAAAUUCCAUCAGUCUUUAAAUGUUCACUUCAAAUUCUAUCUUCAUAAAGUUUUUCUCACACUUUCUUUUCUGUAAAUGCUUUCCUAUGGUUUGAAUGUUUGUGUCCCCUCAAAAUUCAUAUGUUGAAACCUAAUUCCCAGUGUGAUAGUAUUAAGAAGUGGGGCCUUUGGGAAGUGAUUAGGCUAUGAGAUUUCCAGCAUCAUGAAUGGGAUUAAUGCCCUCAUGAUAGAGGCUUUAGGGAGCUUAUCCCUUUUGCCAUAUGAAGAUGCAGCAAAGAGACAGCAAAAAGGUACCAUCUAUGAAGCAGAGAAGCCCUUACCAGCCACCAAAUCUGCUGGUGACUUGACCCGAACUUCUCAGCCUCCAAAACUAAGGCAAUAAAUGUUUAUAAAUUAUUCAGUCUAAGGUAUUUUUUCACAGCAGUCCAAAGGGACUAAACUACUCUAUAGUCAUUAAUCAUCACUCUUACCUUCCAUACCUAUGAGAACCUAAAUAAGCUGCUUAACUUCUCUGAGCCUCAGUUUCCUGAGAAAUAAAUGGGGGUAAUUAUAGUGUCUACUUUAUAGUCUGGUUGUGAGGGUUAGAUUAUUUAAUACAUAUAAAAUAUUAGAACAGAGCCUGACAUAUUGUAAGCAUGUGACAAACAUUAAUUU
This 13143-nucleotide long non-coding RNA is filed under the name Homo sapiens (human). RNAcentral describes it as "non-protein coding LRRC8C-DT:43". Lineage: Eukaryota; Metazoa; Chordata; Mammalia; Primates; Hominidae. The record is from RNAcentral.